This 400-nucleotide ribosomal RNA is filed under the name uncultured bacterium. RNAcentral describes it as "bacterial SSU rRNA". It matches the Rfam family "Bacterial small subunit ribosomal RNA", at positions 364 to 776 of the family's 1533-position model. The record is from RNAcentral.
UUGCACAAUGGGCGCAAGCCUGAUGCAGCGACGCCGCGUGGGGGAUGACGGCCUUCGGGUUGUAAACCUCUUUCAGCAGGGACGAAGCGCAAGUGACGGUACCUGCAGAAGAAGCACCGGCCAACUACGUGCCAGCAGCCGCGGUAAUACGUAGGGUGCGAGCGUUGUCCGGAAUUACUGGGCGUAAAGAGCUCGUAGGUGGUUUGUCGCGUUGUUCGUGAAAACCGGGGGCUUAACCCUCGGCGUGCGGGCGAUACGGGCAGACUAGAGUACUGCAGGGGAGACUGGAAUUCCUGGUGUAGCGGUGGAAUGCGCAGAUAUCAGGAGGAACACCGGUGGCGAAGGCGGGUCUCUGGGCAGUAACUGACGCUGAGGAGCGAAAGCGUGGGGAGCGAACAGG